This 406-nucleotide ribosomal RNA is filed under the name uncultured bacterium. RNAcentral describes it as "partial 16S ribosomal RNA". It matches the Rfam family "Bacterial small subunit ribosomal RNA", at positions 30 to 526 of the family's 1533-position model. The record is from RNAcentral.
AUUGAACGAUGGCGGCAGGCCUAACACAUGCAAGUCGAACGAGUGGCGGAAGGGUGAGUAAUGUCUGGGAAACUGCCUGAUGGAGGGGGAUAACUACUGGAAACGGUAGCUAAUACCGCAUACCAUCGGAUGUGCCCAGAUGGGAUUAGCUAGUAGGUUGGGUAAAGGCUCAACUAGGCGACGAUCCCUAGCGGGUCUGAGAGGAUGACCGGCCACACUGGAACUGAGACACGGUCCAGACUCCUACGGGAGGCAGCAGUGGGGAAUAUUGCACAAUGGGCGCAAGCCUGAUGCAGCCCUGCCGCGUGUAUGAAGAAGGCCUUCGUGUUUUAAAGUACUUUCAGCGGUGAGGCGUUACCCGCAGAAGAAGCACCGGCUAACUCCGUGCCAGCAGCCGCGGUAAUUC